CGCUCCCUUGCUGGAGAGAGAUGGCCCGCGCCAUGCGCCGCCAUCCACCGAAGGAGCAAACCGCAGGGUCAGCCAGGGCGCUGCGGUGAAUCUCUCAGGUAAAGUGGACAGCAGGGCAAAU
Molecule: non-coding RNA, 121 nt
Filed under: Verminephrobacter eiseniae
Lineage: Bacteria; Pseudomonadati; Pseudomonadota; Betaproteobacteria; Burkholderiales; Comamonadaceae
Also listed under: 2 other names
Description: Glycine sequence
Rfam family: Glycine riboswitch aptamer
About the family: This family represents the bacterial glycine riboswitch.
Source: RNAcentral